GUUCGACACAAUAACUGGUACCGGUAGAGCAAUAGUUAAAACACCAGCUAUGGCACACAUAGAUCCGACAAUUUUUCCCCACAUGGUAACGGGUCGCAUAUCUCCGUAACCUAC
This 114-nucleotide small RNA is filed under the name Opisthorchis viverrini. RNAcentral's name for it is "Potassium channel RNA editing signal". Lineage: Eukaryota; Metazoa; Platyhelminthes; Trematoda; Opisthorchiida; Opisthorchiidae. The record is from RNAcentral.